Molecule: ribosomal RNA, 343 nt
Filed under: uncultured soil bacterium
Lineage: Bacteria
Description: bacterial SSU rRNA
Rfam family: Bacterial small subunit ribosomal RNA
Source: RNAcentral
GGAUUGAACGCUGGCGGCAUGCCUAACACAUGCAAGUCGAACGGGAGUAGCAAUACUCUAGUGGCGGACGGGUGAGGAAUACGUAGGAAUUUGCCCUUAAGUGGGGGAUAACCCGGGGAAACCCGGAUUAAUACCGCAUGACCUCGAAAGAGCAAAGUGGGGGAUCGCAAGACCUCACGCUUUUGGAGAAGCCUACGUCGGAUUAGCUAGUUGGUGAGGUAAUGGCUCACCAAGGCGACGAUCCGUAACUGGUCUGAGAGGAUGAUCAGUCACACCGGAACUGAGACACGGUCCGGACUCCUACGGGAGGCAGCAGUGGGGAUAUGGACAAUGGGCGCAAGCC